Molecule: ribosomal RNA, 343 nt
Filed under: Staphylococcus epidermidis NIHLM087
Lineage: Bacteria; Bacillati; Bacillota; Bacilli; Caryophanales; Staphylococcaceae
Description: bacterial SSU rRNA
Rfam family: Bacterial small subunit ribosomal RNA
Source: RNAcentral
UUUUUAUGGAGAGUUUGAUCCUGGCUCAGGAUGAACGCUGGCGGCGUGCCUAAUACAUGCAAGUCGAGCGAACAGACGAGGAGCUUGCUCCUCUGACGUUAGCGGCGGACGGGUGAGUAACACGUGGAUAACCUACCUAUAAGACUGGGAUAACUUCGGGAAACCGGAGCUAAUACCGGAUAAUAUAUUGAACCGCAUGGUUCAAUAGUGAAAGACGGUUUUGCUGUCACUUAUAGAUGGAUCCGCGCCGCAUUAGCUAGUUGGUAAGGUAACGGCUUACCAAGGCAACGAUGCGUAGCCGACCUGAGAGGGUGAUCGGCCACACUGGAACUGAGACACGGUC